CGGGGUGUGGCGCAGUUUGGUAGCGCACCUGCUUUGGGAGCAGGGGGCCGCAGGUUCAAAUCCUGUCACCCCGACCA
This 77-nucleotide transfer RNA is filed under the name Streptosporangium violaceochromogenes. RNAcentral describes it as "tRNA-Pro". It matches the Rfam family "tRNA". From Rfam's summary of the family: Transfer RNA (tRNA) molecules are approximately 80 nucleotides in length. The record is from RNAcentral. Lineage: Bacteria; Bacillati; Actinomycetota; Actinomycetes; Streptosporangiales; Streptosporangiaceae.